RNAcentral lists this RNase P RNA (377 nucleotides) under Candidatus Gastranaerophilales bacterium HUM_3. Its description in RNAcentral is "RNase P RNA component class A". It matches the Rfam family "Bacterial RNase P class A". Rfam says of the family: Ribonuclease P (RNase P) is a ubiquitous endoribonuclease, found in archaea, bacteria and eukarya as well as chloroplasts and mitochondria. Its best characterised activity is the generation of mature 5'-ends of tRNAs by cleaving the 5'-leader elements of precursor-tRNAs. Cellular RNase Ps are ribonucleoproteins. The record is from RNAcentral. Lineage: Bacteria; Bacillati; Candidatus Melainabacteria; Candidatus Gastranaerophilales.
UAAAGCAGCCGGAUAAUCGCGCCUAAGAAGACAUUUGUCUUACAAAACGGGUGAGGAAAGUCCGUGCAUCCGAGGACAGACCGCCGGAGAAACUCCGGGCAGCGUGAGCUGGCGGAAAGUGGCACAGAAAAUAUACUGCUAACUGCUUUAUGCAGCAGCGAGGGUGCAACGGUGAGUUAAGAGCUUCACCAGCAAUAUCGGAAGGUAUUGGCUAGCUAAACCCCGGUUGGAUGCAAGAUGAACGAAACAUUAUGAGGUGUCCGCCUCGUUUCAAAAAUCGCUUGAGCUCUGGAGUAAUCCUGAGACCAGAUAGAUGAUUAUCAAGUAUACUUAUGAAGUAGAAAAAACAGAACACGGCUUACGGGUUGCUUUAUUCU